UACAGAGGGUGCGAGCGUUGUUCGGAAUUAUUGGGCGUAAAGGGCGCGUAGGCGGUGCGGUAAGUCACCUGUGAAAUCUCCCGGCUCAACCGGGAGCUUGCAGGCGAAACUGCCGUGCUGGAGUGUGGGAGAGGUGCGUGGAAUUCCCGGUGUAGCGGUGAAAUGCGUAGAUAUUGGGAGGAACACCAGUGGCGAAGGCGGCUCACUGGACCGGUACUGACGCUGAUGCGCGAAAGCGUGGGGAGCAAACGGG
This 253-nucleotide ribosomal RNA is filed under the name uncultured bacterium. RNAcentral's name for it is "partial 16S ribosomal RNA". It matches the Rfam family "Bacterial small subunit ribosomal RNA", at positions 524 to 776 of the family's 1533-position model. The record is from RNAcentral.